AGGGCGUCGCGCGGGUUGGCGAGGGUGGUCUCCUCACCCUCGAUGAGGAAGGUCCCCGCGUCGUGCCGGUGCAGCCCCGCGAUGAUCUU
RNAcentral lists this transfer RNA (89 nucleotides) under Streptomyces atratus. RNAcentral's name for it is "tRNA-Glu". Lineage: Bacteria; Bacillati; Actinomycetota; Actinomycetes; Kitasatosporales; Streptomycetaceae. The record is from RNAcentral.